Molecule: non-coding RNA, 111 nt
Organism: Acanthosepion pharaonis
Lineage: Eukaryota; Metazoa; Mollusca; Cephalopoda; Sepiida; Sepiidae
Source: the annotation of a GenBank genome assembly
UAUGGCCAUAUCACGUUGAAACUCCAGUUCCCGUAAAAUCAACGAAGUUAAGCAACGUUGAUCCUGCUCAGUACCUAGAUGGGUAGCGCUCGGGAUUACCAGUUGCUGUAA